GAGGCACCACAUAAAGGAUUAUGUCACAGCAAGUAGUACGGGCGUGAGCGAUGCUGCGCUUUGCGGUGCUGCAACAUACAGUGCUCAUCUUGCUGACCACCAGUGAAAGAGGAACCCGAAGAGAGUUGGAAAUGGAGCAUCUCCUCUCUUAGUGCUAGAAGCCUGAAGCCCAAGGAGACAAAAAAUCCUCACCUUCCUGAAGUCCCCAAUCUGAGGAGUCAAUCAGGGAAUCCUCACACUGAAAUCAUGAAGAGUUUUGGAUGACAAUGUCAUGACUAAGUUAAGUUAUCUUUGAUUCUUUCUUCUCCCUCAUUCCACAACCCUCUCAGUUUCUAAGUGCAGUUUUAACCUACCCUUUGAUACCAUAUUGCCUAAAAGAUCUGGGGAGAAUUGCUGGGUGACAGUGGUAAUUUCCCCUAAUGAUUUCUUGCUUGCAUGUCUUAUGGACCAUAGACUGGAUAUUCCACAGUCAUCUCCUUGACAUGAGACUCAUGUCCCUAUCUGGGGUCAAUAGCUGACUCAUUAUGGACAUUCUCAGGCUGCCUCCAUGGUGGAGAAGCUGGGAAAGACUCUAAAUACUACAAAGUGCCAAAAAUUGGAAUGAAUGGGGAAACAUCAAAUAUCAAGAGAGUGACUUAGGGGAUAGGUUCUGGGAAGGAACUGGAAGGAAAGAUUUUAUUUGAUGAUCAGGGUAUGGGUUGGCUGUCAGAGAAAUUUGUCUAACUUAAGGGUAUAGACAGAGAUUGAGAAAAUCGAGAUCUUAAUAUACCUUCUCCUUUUAGCCACCCAUCAUCUCUCUCCAUGUCAUCCAUCACUGGGUGUGAAAACAUUAUUCUCUUCAGAAUUCAUAUAACUGGUGGCUUAAGACAAAAUCUAAAUGACUUAUAGGUGGAAUCCAAAUCUCACUGCUUGUGAUCAUGACCUGCUAGAGGACCACUUUGGAUAGGGACUAUAAUUCCUCAUUAGAACAGGGUCUCUCUAAGGACAAAACUCUCUCUCCCACUUGACUGAGGACUACUUCCCUAAGAGUGGGGCUUCCUGAUCAGAUCUAGCAUUUCUUUAAUUGAACCAACAGUUACAAAUGCCAGCUGUGCCUAUGGCACUGUGACAUACCACACUCUGGGUUUCCGGUCCUCACCACAG
Molecule: long non-coding RNA, 1143 nt
Filed under: Monodelphis domestica (gray short-tailed opossum)
Lineage: Eukaryota; Metazoa; Chordata; Mammalia; Didelphimorphia; Didelphidae
Description: lncRNA (ENSMODG00000045732.1)
Source: RNAcentral